UAACAAAGAUGAGGUUUAUGUUUUUGUAGGUGAAGUUCCAUCUCCGCUGCAUCAUCAGUUACAUGCUCUUUACCCUCACCAAUUGCUCCAUGAAUACUAAGGACCUAUAUUUCAAUGCAGACAAAGGUAAACUUUCUCCCCUUCAAGUUCAAUUCUUUUUUCCCAAUUAACCCCAUUCAUUUAUGUUUCCUCAGCCUUGGCGAGCCAUUUUCUCACCAACAUCACAGAUGCCUAGGUAAACCUUCCCCUUUCCCCUUUGAUUCUCUCAACUCAACUCUUAUUCCUUUCAACUCUCACAUGAAACAUAAAAAAUUGACACUGCUUUUCCCUUAUCCCUUUCUCUUUUUGCAACAUUGAUCUGCUACUAUAUUGAUUAAUCAUUAGAGUAAAGCAUAUCAAUGGAACACAUAUGAUGAUAAGGUAUAGCUGUGAUGAAAUCCUGUCGGCUCCUCACAGUUUCUCUGAAGGUAUCAUUUGUGUUUGUGGAUGUCUGUGUGUUCUAAAUCAAAUUUGGUUCCUUUAUCAGAGAUUGGGAUUCAUUGUUUUGCUAUGGAUAUGCACAAUAUUAGGGGGAGGGUCUGAAGCUUUGUUUUCUUUAAUAUAUCUUCUUCAUAGUUUUGAUUCCUUUGGCUACAAAUGUUAAAUUACAAAACAUAAUAGAAAAAAUAACCAAACUAGAUGGUAAUGGUGAUUAAUUAAUUAUUUGGUUAAUCUGUGGAGGGUUAAAAACAACAUUUCCUAUAGAAAAGAGUUUGGAAUGUUAUAUAACUGAGUAAAUAAUGCUGAUAAUUGGCCUGUAAGAGUAGAGUGACACAUCUUAAAUAAAUAAGACUUGAAGAUCAGCAAAAGAGAGAUGACAUUGCAAUUUUGCAAUCCCCAUGUCCUAUAUCAUCCAUCAAAUUCUAUUAUUUGCCCCUCCCAAUGGAAUGAAAAUAUACGCUCCCUCAAAUGAACUCUUUGUUAAUUAGUUUUCUCUAUUAUUUGAGAAAGAAAAAUUUUCCAUCAAGCUUCAUGGCCCCAAGUGUUGAUGAAGUAGCUGAUCUGAAUGCCUCUUUAAAAGAAGAUCUCUGAUGGUCCAUUGGAAUGGUAUGAAUGGCUUCCAAGUUCCAUCCACAAAUUCUUCGCUUUGCCCACGUCUUAAAAUUCUGAUAGAAGAAUGUUUACUGCUCUUUUGGUUUCGAACCUCUCCUAGAAUAUUUAUUGCUGCUCUUCUUCCUUGAACCAUGCUUUUCCCUGCCACUUUUCCCCGCAAGCUUGCUUUGUACAAUUUGGAAUCAUGUCUUCGUGCACCAUUGAGUCUGAUCUUGAUAUGCUGAGUUAAGGGUUUAUGGUAUUUCCCGCGAAUAUAUAUGGUUAGAGUUGUGCCUAGGAUUGAGGGUUGAUGGAACACCGUAUUUGAUUCUGAUAAUGGUACAUUGCUAAAAGUUUGCUGCUAAUUUUGAUUGGUACAUUGCUAAAGUUUUAUUAUCUACAUGAUCUAGAUUUUGAUCA
Molecule: long non-coding RNA, 1491 nt
Organism: Lotus japonicus
Lineage: Eukaryota; Viridiplantae; Streptophyta; Magnoliopsida; Fabales; Fabaceae
Exons: 3
Source: RefSeq, a predicted model, not a curated record